UGGCUGGGGUACCUGGAUUCGAACCAGGGAAUGCCGGUAUCAAAAACCGGUGCCUUACCGCUUGGCGAUACCCCA
This 75-nucleotide transfer RNA is filed under the name Escherichia coli. RNAcentral describes it as "tRNA-Gln". The record is from RNAcentral. RNAcentral also lists the same sequence under 3 other names. Lineage: Bacteria; Pseudomonadati; Pseudomonadota; Gammaproteobacteria; Enterobacterales; Enterobacteriaceae.